UGAGAAGGCUUUGGUUGAACGUGGACAGUGCGAUGUUCCAAACUUGGUUCAUAAUAAACAGCCCAUUUUUGGAAUGACACCACCAAUUCCUUCUUUAUCUUUCGGAAAAGAAGAUGAAUAUUUUGUGGAGGAAGAUGGGUGGACUCAGAUUUUGUCCCAACUUCAAAUUAGUUCAAAGGAACAACCCUGCUCUUCUCUUUUCUUCAUUCUCUACCACUCGGGCUUCUUACAACACUCUCGUCUCUGAGAAUGAUUGAAGUUAUAUGGGG
Molecule: long non-coding RNA, 269 nt
Organism: Cucumis melo (muskmelon)
Lineage: Eukaryota; Viridiplantae; Streptophyta; Magnoliopsida; Cucurbitales; Cucurbitaceae
Exons: 3
Source: RefSeq, a predicted model, not a curated record